RNAcentral lists this ribosomal RNA (253 nucleotides) under uncultured bacterium. RNAcentral describes it as "partial 16S ribosomal RNA". It matches the Rfam family "Bacterial small subunit ribosomal RNA", at positions 524 to 776 of the family's 1533-position model. The record is from RNAcentral.
UACGUAGGGGGCAAGCGUUGUCCGGAAUCAUUGGGCGUAAAGCGCGUGUAGGCGGCCCGGUAAGUCCGCUGUGAAAGUCCAGGGCUCAACCCUGGGAUGCCGGUGGAUACUGUCGGGCUCGAGUCCGGAAGAGGCGAGUGGAAUUCCUGGUGCAGCGGUGAAAUGCGCAGAUAUCAGGAGGAACACCAAUGGCGAAGGCAGCUCGCUGGGACGUGACUGACGCUGAGACGCGAAAGCGUGGGGAGCAAACAGG